CCUACGGGAGGCAGCAGUGGGGAAUAUUGCACAAUGGGCGCAAGCCUGAUGCAGCCAUGCCGCGUGUGUGAAGAAGGCCUUCGGGUUGUAAAGCACUUUCAGCGGGGAGGAAGGCGGUGAGGUUAAUAACCUCAUCGAUUGACGUUACCCGCAGAAGAAGCACCGGCUAACUCCGUGCCAGCAGCCGCGGUAACACGGAGGGUGCAAGCGUUAAUCGGAAUUACUGGGCGUAAAGCGCACGCAGGCGGUCUGUCAAGUCGGAUGUGAAAUCCCCGGGCUCAACCUGGGAACUGCAUUCGAAACUGGCAGGCUAGAGUCUUGUAGAGGGGGGUAGAAUUCCAGGUGUAGCGGUGAAAUGCGUAGAGAUCUGGAGGAAUACCGGUGGCGAAGGCGGCCCCCUGGACAAAGACUGACGCUCAGGUGCGAAAGCGUGGGGAGCAAACAGGAUUAGAUACCCGAGUAGUC
This 465-nucleotide ribosomal RNA is filed under the name uncultured Klebsiella sp. Its description in RNAcentral is "bacterial SSU rRNA". It matches the Rfam family "Bacterial small subunit ribosomal RNA", at positions 338 to 795 of the family's 1533-position model. Lineage: Bacteria; Pseudomonadati; Pseudomonadota; Gammaproteobacteria; Enterobacterales; Enterobacteriaceae. The record is from RNAcentral.